CCUACGGGAGGCAGCAGUGGGGAAUCUUCCGCAAUGGGCGAAAGCCUGACGGAGCAACGCCGCGUGAUCGAAUGAAGGCCUUCGGGUUGUAAAGAUCUGUUGACAGGGACGAAUAAGCAAUGCGAAUAGUUUUGUGUAUGACGGUACCUGUGUAGAAAGCUCCGGCUAACUACGGGCCAGCAGCCGCGGUAAUACGGAGGGAGCAAGCGUUGUCCGGAAUUACGGGGCGUAAAGGGCGCGUAGGUAGGCGCUUAAGUCAGGUGUGAAAACUCCGGGCUCAACCUGGAGACUGCACUUGAAACUGGGUGUCUUGAGGGCAGGAGAGGAAAGUGGAAUUCCUAGUGUAGCGGUGAAAUGCGUAGAUAUUAGGAGGAACACCAGUGGCGAAGGCGGCCUGCUGGACGACAACUGACGGUGAGGCGCGAAAGCGUGGGGAGCAAACAGGAUUAGAUACCCUUGUAGUC
This 464-nucleotide ribosomal RNA is filed under the name uncultured bacterium. RNAcentral's name for it is "partial 16S ribosomal RNA". It matches the Rfam family "Bacterial small subunit ribosomal RNA", at positions 338 to 795 of the family's 1533-position model. The record is from RNAcentral.